GACCGUUGAUGCACUUUACUGUGUGUCGCGGUAAAGGGCCACUGUCACUUUGAGAAAUUCAGUGUGCUCAACGCAAGCUUUACGCUUGAAUAAUGCUGCAUGGGAUGACGAAAGAAGGCCUCGGCUCCGUUUCGUUGGUCUACGAAAGCGAAGGUCAUGAUUAAUCGGGACAGACGGGGGCAUUCGUAUUGCGGUGCUAGAAGUGAAAUUCUGUGACCAUCGCAAGACGAACAACUGCGAAAGCAUUUGCCAAGAAUGUUUUCAUUAAUCAAGAACGAAAGUUAGAGGAUCGAAGACGAUUAGAUACCGUCCUAGUUCUAACUGUAAACUAUGCCAACCGGGCAUUCGCCAACGCUUUAUCUUGGCGAGCACCCUCCGGGAAACCAAAGUUAUUUGGUUCCGGGGAGAGUAUGGUUGCAAAGUCGAAACUUAAAGGAAUUGACGGAGGGGCACACCAGAAGUGGAGCCUGCGGCUCAAUUUGACUCAACGCACGAAAGCUUACUCGGUCCGAACACUGCGAGGAUUGACAGGUUGAAAGCUCUUUCUUGAUUCAGUGGGUAGCGGUGCAUGGCCGUUCGUAGUUGGUGAAGUGAUUUGUCUGGUUUAUUCCGAUAACGAACGAGACUCUAGCCCACUAAUUAGCGUGGCAAUCGAACGUUGCCACUAUGCUUCUUAGAGGGACAGGUGCUGCUUAAGCACACGAAAUUGAGCAAUAACAGGUCUGUGAUGCCCUUCGAUGUUCGAGGCUGCACGCGCGCUACAAUGGAGGGCGCAGAGUGCACGGCGCUUCCUGUGAAGGAUGCGGAAUCGUGAAUUGCCUCCAUGACUGGGAUCGGGGAUUGAAAUUGUUCCUCGUGAACGAGGAAUUCCUAGUAAGCGCG
This 882-nucleotide ribosomal RNA is filed under the name Polymorphus minutus. RNAcentral's name for it is "SSU rRNA". It matches the Rfam family "Eukaryotic small subunit ribosomal RNA", at positions 708 to 1625 of the family's 1831-position model. Lineage: Eukaryota; Metazoa; Acanthocephala; Palaeacanthocephala; Polymorphida; Polymorphidae. The record is from RNAcentral.